UCUAAUUUGGGCGUCUAUAAAACCCUUGUUUUUUUAGAGAGGCUUUUCAUUCCUUAGGAGAUCUAGAGGACUUGAUAAUAUGGCCAACAUUUCUUCAUUUCUCACUUUUGUUGCAAUUGCAUUUCUGGCACUUGCGUUGCCUGAUCCCCAGAAAGGCACCAAGGAUUGUCCUGGAGGGUGCAAAGGUUGGAAAAAUAAUGGAUAAAAGCUUUUACCAUUUGAAAGAAGCUUUCUUAAAUUGAAUGAACUUUAAAAUAAAGGUCAAAAAUGUA
Molecule: long non-coding RNA, 272 nt
Organism: Drosophila biarmipes
Lineage: Eukaryota; Metazoa; Arthropoda; Insecta; Diptera; Drosophilidae
Exons: 2
Source: RefSeq, a predicted model, not a curated record